UUACGGAAGGCAGCAGUGGGGAAUAUUGCACAAUGGGGGAAACCCUGAUGCAGCGACGCCGCGUGAGUGAAGAAGUAUUUCGGUAUGUAAAGCUCUAUCAGCAGGGAAGAAAAUGACGGUACCUGACUAAGAAGCCCCGGCUAACUACGUGCCAGCAGCCGCGGUAAUACGUAGGGGGCAAGCGUUAUCCGGAUUUACUGGGUGUAAAGGGAGCGUAGGUGGUUCGGUAAGUCAGAUGUGAAAGCCCGGGGCUCAACCCCGGGACUGCAUUUGAAACUAUCGAACUAGAGUGCAGGAGAGGUAAGUGGAAUUCCUAGUGUAGCGGUGAAAUGCGUAGAUAUUAGGAGGAACACCAGUGGCGAAGGCGGCUUACUGGACUGUAACUGACACUGAGGCUCGAAAGCGUGGGGAGCAAACAGGAUUAGAUACCCUGGUAGA
This 438-nucleotide ribosomal RNA is filed under the name uncultured bacterium. Its description in RNAcentral is "bacterial SSU rRNA". It matches the Rfam family "Bacterial small subunit ribosomal RNA", at positions 339 to 794 of the family's 1533-position model. The record is from RNAcentral.